GACGAACGCUGGCGGCGUGCUUAACACAUGCAAGUCGAACGGAAAGGCCCUGCUUUUGUGGGGUGCUCGAGUGGCGAACGGGUGAGUAACACGUGAGUAACCUGCCCUUGACUUUGGGAUAACUUCAGGAAACUGGGGCUAAUACCGGAUAGGAGCUCCUGCUGCAUGGUGGGGGUUGGAAAGUUUCGGCGGUUGGGGAUGGACUCGCGGCUUAUCAGCGUGUUGGUGGGGUAGUGGCUUACCAAGGCUUUGACGGGUAGCCGGCCUGGGAGGGUGACCGGCCACAUUGGGACUGAGAUACGGCCCAGACUCCUACGGGAGGCAGCAGUGGGGAAUAUUGCACAAUGGGCGGACGCCUGAUGCAGCAACGCCGCGUGCGGGAUGACUGCCUUCGGGUUGUAACCCGCUUUCGCCUGUGACGAAGCGUGAGUGACGGUAAUGGGUAAAGAAGCACCGGCUAACUACGUG
Molecule: ribosomal RNA, 468 nt
Filed under: uncultured bacterium
Lineage: Bacteria
Description: partial 16S ribosomal RNA
Rfam family: Bacterial small subunit ribosomal RNA
Source: RNAcentral